RNAcentral lists this ribosomal RNA (393 nucleotides) under uncultured bacterium. RNAcentral's name for it is "bacterial SSU rRNA". It matches the Rfam family "Bacterial small subunit ribosomal RNA", at positions 28 to 428 of the family's 1533-position model. The record is from RNAcentral.
GACGAACGCUGGCGGCGUGCUUAACACAUGCAAGUCGAGCGGUAAGGCCCUUCGGGUACACGAGCGGCGAACGGGUGAGUAACACGUGGGUGACCUGCCCUUAGCUCUGGGAUAAGCCUGGGAAACUGGGUCUAAUACCGGAUAUGACCUCAUGACGCAUGUUGUGGGGUGGAAAGCCUUGUGCGGCUAGGGAUGGGCCCGCGGCCUAUCAGCUUGUUGGUGGGGUGAUGGCCACCAAGGCGACGACGGGUAGCCGGCCUGAGAGGGCGACCGGCCACACUGGGACUGAGACACGGCCCAGACUCCUACGGGAGGCAGCAGUGGGGAAUCUUGCGCAAUGGGCGAAAGCCUGACGCAGCGACGCCGCGUGAGGGAUGACGGCCUCGGUUGUAA